AUACCUUUCCUGGCCUUUUGGCUAAGAUAAGUGUAGUAUCUGUUUUUACUAGUUUAAUAUCUGAUAUGUGAGGCACUGCCUCACAAUGAUAUUAAAUUUAUUUUUGUGGGGAAGGAUUCGCUAUAGUGGCAAGGCUUGGCACUGGAAUCCUUGGUGUCGCCUUUGCAUUAAAGCCUAGAGUCGAUGGAUCUCGA
RNAcentral lists this small nuclear RNA (194 nucleotides) under Dichanthelium oligosanthes. RNAcentral describes it as "U2 spliceosomal RNA". It matches the Rfam family "U2 spliceosomal RNA". Rfam says of the family: U2 is a small nuclear RNA (snRNA) component of the spliceosome (involved in pre-mRNA splicing). Complementary binding between U2 snRNA (in an area lying towards the 5' end but 3' to hairpin I) and the branchpoint sequence (BPS) of the intron results the bulging out of an unpaired adenosine, on the BPS, which initiates a nucleophilic attack at the intronic 5' splice site, thus starting the first of two transesterification reactions that mediate splicing. The record is from Rfam by way of RNAcentral. Lineage: Eukaryota; Viridiplantae; Streptophyta; Magnoliopsida; Poales; Poaceae.